This 253-nucleotide ribosomal RNA is filed under the name uncultured bacterium. RNAcentral describes it as "partial 16S ribosomal RNA". It matches the Rfam family "Bacterial small subunit ribosomal RNA", at positions 524 to 776 of the family's 1533-position model. The record is from RNAcentral.
CACGUAGGGCGCAAGCGUUGUCCGGAAUUAUUGGGCGUAAAGAGCUCGUAGGCGGUCUGUCGCGUCGAAUGUGAAAACCCGGGGCUCAACUCCGGGCUUGCAUUCGAUACGGGCAGACUAGAGUUCGGUAGGGGAGACUGGAAUUCCUGGUGUAGCGGUGAAAUGCGCAGAUAUCAGGAGGAACACCGGUGGCGAAGGCGGGUCUCUGGGCCGAUACUGACGCUGAGGAGCGAAAGCGUGGGGAGCAAACAGG